Molecule: long non-coding RNA, 276 nt
Organism: Canis lupus familiaris (dog)
Lineage: Eukaryota; Metazoa; Chordata; Mammalia; Carnivora; Canidae
Exons: 3
Source: RefSeq, a predicted model, not a curated record
AAUACCCACCAUUUGCUUCAACGUGGAUGGAACUGGAGGGUAUUAUGCUGAGUGAAUGCUACUCUUUCCAUCUUUAAGUUACAAAAUUAACUUAUAAGUCUCUUCAAAGGAGUCAUGGUCUACUUUUUACACUGAAAGGCAAAAUUAUAAAGAACAUGGGCGUUGGAAUAAAACAGUCAUGCUAACCACAUUUCAGCUAACCAGCUGCAUGACAAUGGGUCAUGAUCUCAGGGCCCUGGGAUCAAGCUGUGCAUCAAGCUCUGCACUGAGUACGGA